This is a long non-coding RNA of Homo sapiens (human), 1933 nucleotides long. RefSeq lists it as uncharacterized. The transcript is spliced from 2 exons. The record is from RefSeq and is a predicted model, not a curated record. Lineage: Eukaryota; Metazoa; Chordata; Mammalia; Primates; Hominidae.
GUGUGCCUGUAAUCCCAGCUACUUGGGAGGCUGAGGCAGGAGAAUGGCGUGAACCCGGGAAGCAGAGUGUACAGUGAGCCAAGAUCACGCCAUUGCACUCCAGCCUGGGCGACAGAGCGAGACUCCGUCUCAAAAAAAAAAGAAAUACAGUCAUGCACAGCAUAGUGACCUUUCAGUCAACAACAUUUAUGAAGAUGGUUGCAAAGAUUACACCAAACUUUUACUGCACCUUUCCUAUGUUCAGAUACUCACAUACUCAGCAUCGUACUACAACUGCCCACAGUAUUCAGUACAGCAACCUGCUGUGCAGGUUUUAGCCCAGGAGCAACAGGCUAUGCCACACAGCCUAGGGUGUAGCAGGCUAUGCUAUCUAGGUCUGUGUGAGUACAUUCUAUGGUGUUCACACCACAACGACAUCGCCAAACAAUGCAUCUCUCAGAACAUAUCCCCUUCGUUAAGUUACAUAUGACUGGUUUUUCUGUCUCCCCAUUCCUAUCAGGUGUCGCUUCUUGCUGCUCUCAAGCCCUACUCCCCAUGCUUCUGCUUCUAGCUUGCUGGGAGCUGGGAAACUGACCAAGCAUGGAAAACUACAGGAUAUAUUUACUGGAUUGGAAAGCCACAGAAUCAUCGGAAUACUUGGAGGACAGCUAAAAUGGAAAAAGGCCUUAAAAUGAUGGCAUCAGGCAAAAUGAAUAGCAGGAGAAGGUGCUGUAUUUGGGGGAAUCUGAUGCAGCACAUGGGGAAAUGUGGAGAAAGGGAACAUGCAGCCACAAACACUUACACAAGCCCUUAUGGCCAAUGAGCAUCAGAAGCGACCAGGAAGACACUCCGAAAGAUUCUAGAGGAAUGGCUUGAGAAUGUCAGGAGAUGGCAACUAACCCAAACCAAGGCCAGGUAAGACUUUCAGAGCGUUAGAAAACCUCAUAAAGAGGCUGUCUGUGAUCUCAAGGAAGUAAACCUCAGCAAGAACACUUUGGCAGGUGACAUGGAAUGGAAAUAAGGCCAGGAAGGGUGAAGAGAAGACUGGGAAACAAGAGGAAUUCAUGGCACACCCAAUACAUGUUGUGAUACAGCUCACUUCCCUGACAUCUAGUCUGUGUAUCUCACGAUUAGCACCCAGACAGCAUUUCCAGCCCGUGUGGAGCACCAGCUCUGCGCAGCCUCACCUUUUUCAACAUGUACCUCGAUAAUCUUCUUCUCACGGAUCACCUUGGCCCCGCUGCAGCUCUCGCAGCGGUCCUUGGGGUUGAUGCGCUCACCCUGGCCCUUGCACUCGAUGCACACGGUCUGGAUCUGCUGUACCAUGCCCGGCCCGAUCUGCUGGAUGUGGAUCUGCAUCCCCCGCCCCUUGCACAGCGGGCACUUCUCCACCGAUCCCUUCUUCCCACCAACACCUGCAGGGUCAGGGGAGGCAGGAAUGAGGGCCAUGCUCUUCCCUUACCAGUGUCCCUGCUGGGCGCCAUGGCAGAAGGGUAGGGAACCCUCACAUUGGACAAUGGGCUUAGAAUUCUAUUUACAAUAAUAAAAAACAAUGCAGAAGAGUCUGGAGGAGUCCAGCCAAGCAGACAACAUCCAGAUGUUAACAUCUGACCUCAAACGUUUGUGAUUUUGGCUGCACCAAUCCAAAUUUAUUACUUUAGCUUCAUCAAAUGUGUUUUCUUCCACCCCAGGUGGAACUCGCAUAGGCCCACAGAUGAAUGAGGAGGCUGGGGCUGUGGCGAUCUAGACAACACAAGCUCUGUCAAUAGUGGCAGCUACCCAGCUCAGCCAAUUCUCUCUGUGGGACAAUGUGAGGCUGGGGUCACCAGACAUGGCUUUUCUUGAAAACUCAGGUUUUUUAAAAAUUACAAUAAUUAUAUAUACAUUUAAGUCAGGGGUCAAGAAACCAUGGCCAGACUGCUUGGUUUUGUAAAUAAAGCUUUACUGGAACAUA